CGGAGGAUGGGCGUGGCCUCCAGAGGAGGGCAGGUACAAGCUUCUGGGUCUGCUUUCCAGCAGAGGAUUAUGGAACGUAACCUGGGGCCUCUGUCUGGACCAGAUGUUUCCAGGGUCUCCAUGUCUUGUCCAAAUGAAUUGAAGGAGCUCACACAAGUAACAAAGUAGCAAAAGGUUCUGUUCAAAGAUAACAUGAGCUGUGGAGGGGCUGCAAGAAGCCGUGGAGCCUGGGCAAGCAUGGGACUCAAGUAACACCAGUCACUGCCUCGCGCUUCUAUCAUGGCUUCAGGAAGAGAAGAGGAGGGUUAUGGCAGGAACAAAGAACUGCUGGAGUUGGAAGACCCAGUAGCUGAGCUGCCUGGGGAAGAGUCUCCUCCCUGUCAAGUUGCCUGAAAGUCCUUCAGAGAGCUCCAGGAUUACAGCAUUGGUAAAUGGUCACCCAUAUUGAGUGGGCUUUUUCAGUGAUGUGGCUACCUUGGAGUUAUCCAUGAUUCCAUAAGUAACCCAUAAACUCCCUGGUUCACCCGCUCUUCUACAAUCAGUUCUUUAGUCUGUCAUGGGUUCACUAUCUGGGGCAAGCAAACAUGUAAGUUAUCUUUCCAGGAAUUCCAGGCUCAGAGCCUUGGACAAACUUACCCCAUUUCUAGUUUGUCCUCUCUGCUUGGUGCUUAUGGCUUCUCGGUUUGCCACUCUAGCCAUGUGCUGACAAUGCCUCCCUCACUGUUAUGGACUCUCCUUUUGAAACCAUGAACCCAAAUAAACUCUUUCUUCCACAGUGUUUUAAUC
Non-coding RNA from Rattus norvegicus (Norway rat), 786 nucleotides. NCBI's taxonomy places the organism in Eukaryota, Metazoa, Chordata, Mammalia, Rodentia, Muridae. The record is from RefSeq and is a predicted model, not a curated record.